Molecule: ribosomal RNA, 487 nt
Filed under: Bacillus sp. oral taxon B77
Lineage: Bacteria; Bacillati; Bacillota; Bacilli; Caryophanales; Bacillaceae
Description: bacterial SSU rRNA
Rfam family: Bacterial small subunit ribosomal RNA
Source: RNAcentral
GACGAACGCUGGCGGCGUGCCUAAUACAUGCAAGUCGAGCGCAGGAAGUCAUCCGAACCCUUCGGGGGGACGUUGACGGAAUGAGCGGCGGACGGGUGAGUAACACGUAAAGAACCUGCCCUCAGGUCUGGGAUAACCACGAGAAAUCGGGGCUAAUACCGGAUGGGUCAUCGGACCGCAUGGUCCGAGGAUGAAAGGCGCUUCGGCGUCGCCUGGGGAUGGCUUUGCGGUGCAUUAGCUAGUUGGUGGGGUAAUGGCCCACCAAGGCGACGAUGCAUAGCCGACCUGAGAGGGUGAUCGGCCACACUGGGACUGAGACACGGCCCAGACUCCUACGGGAGGCAGCAGUAGGGAAUCUUCCACAAUGGACGAAAGUCUGAUGGAGCAACGCCGCGUGAACGAUGAAGGCCCUCGGGUCGUAAAGUUCUGUUGUAAGGGAAGAACAAGUGCCGCAGUCAAUGGCGGCACCUGACGUACCUGCGAGAAG